CUGCCCCAGGUCAGCAGCGGAGGGAUGUAUAUGAAAAGACAACCGCCGAACUUUAAUAUCAGUUGGAGACGAAACGCGGCUCGAAGAGGUCAUGGCUUCGGUAGAAGUCAGAUCAAACCGCCGUGGUCUCCAGGGCUCCAUCGACUGCCUUGCUGAUGGGAGGACUUAACCGGUCAGUGUGAUACUGACCAUACAUACUGGACACGAGUGACAACGUCAAGGUGUUCCUGACACCCGUACCUGUGUCCACCAGGACGACGCAGUUCCGCCACAACGUGCACAGGGACUCCUACCACGACAGGGAAAGUCAGUGGAGUCCGUGCAAGUCAGUGAGACGAGCUGCAUCACUGAAGGAGCUAGAAUAGACGUCCGUGUGCCUUAUAAAGUCGGGAAGGAGCUACAAAUCACCCAGAACAGCACCAUCGACAGGAGGAAGAUAACGAGAGGGGAGUGCCAGACCAGUAGCAGACCUAGAAUAGCCAAUCGAUUGCGCUGCUACAACCAUAGUGAACCUAAAACUAGUUAGAGAAUUCACGGACUAGUUUUGAGGUGAUUUAUACCAUUACUGUGCAUUUUAGUGUACUGGGUAUACAUUGCAGUAGUAGUUGAUUGUGCAUGUGUAUCAAAGAACCGUACAUAAGGUUAACCUCAGCGACGACGGACCGAAUCAAACCGGAGAUGGAUGUAGUAAAGGAGAGAACCGCCAGAGGAAUGUUCAGUACAAUUAUUCUGUAUCCAACCUGUGACCGAAGUUAGCGGGUCAGCAUUAUGUAGUAACGUCAAAACACUUCAACAGUCUCCCGUGCCAAGUGUACGGAAAACCUUGUCUCUGCGUCCUUCCUUUAUUCUAGCUGUGCUAGUCAUAGUCUUCAAAGCAGAAUCUAAACAACGUGAAAUCCAUUGGUUUCAUGACUUGUUUGAAAUAUGUGACUUAUUAACAUUUCACAACCAGGCUUUACUUAAUAUGUAUCUAUAUAGCCGGUAUAACCGCCCUUCGGCGUAACACACCAGCUUCAAUUCCAAACGACAAUUACCUGAAAUCACUUCACUUUAUAUUUUAUAGAUAUCGACAUAAAACUGACAUAUUCGUCUUCAUUAUUUGUUUUGACCCCGUGAAAGCAUAUCAUCCCAAAGCUCAAAAGACAAAGGCGAAAGCUAUUUUUCUACCCUCAAAAUCAUCCUUUCUAUAGCUCCAAACGACAACCACUUGAAGCAUUCCAUUCCAAAUUGCAAAAAGCACAAGCUUAUAUAA
Molecule: long non-coding RNA, 1252 nt
Organism: Branchiostoma floridae (Florida lancelet)
Lineage: Eukaryota; Metazoa; Chordata; Leptocardii; Amphioxiformes; Branchiostomatidae
Exons: 3
Source: RefSeq, a predicted model, not a curated record